CUCUUUUCCACGAAGUGACAGAAGUUAUGAAGAUAUGCUUUAAGUGGCUGAUUUGCCCAACUCCCUUAUUUUGCAGAACGUCCUGCCAUAUUUGAAACUUACACUAUAAAAUCUUAUAGAAAGACAGUUCCUGAGUGUUAGCCUAAUAAAGCCACAUUUUUAUCUCUUAUGGGUUUUAGUUGCUAUUGGACGUUUCCUUCCUGGCCUCUAAGGACAUGUGAAGAAUAUCAGAGGAAGUCCUCAUCAGCUGAUGUUCAGAGAGGUUCCUACUUCCUCAGCUUCCUUCACACGGCUCCUUCUCAAGACAGCAUCAUUAAUCUACAUUGUCCCUUUCUUAUCAUGACUCUGCCAGUUUCUUAUCAUGUUUCUGCUGCCUGUCCUGCUGCCAGAGUAUCUUCAAACCUAGUGCUUCAUAUCAGGGCCGCUAUAUGUGGUGGUGGAACAGCUCCAUGAAGAGAGAUGUAAGCAAUGCUUUUGUGACAAGCAGAGAGUCCGUGGGUCAGAACACUCAUUUGGGUAAUGAGAUAACAUCCCCAUCAAGUCUUAAAUAGGAAUUUCCAACAUUAGAGUCUUAAUAAUCAUGCGAUUGCUAUUAAUUUUUUGUAGUCUAUUUGGUGUUGUCCUGGAUGUGUUAAAUCUUUUCUCACCAAGAUGUUUUCAACAGGUAGAAUGGUCUUGAUGAUAUGAUUCAUUUGACAGCUUUUCCAGAAUCCUUAAAAAAUGAAAAACCCAAUUAACUCUGGGCUGUAUUCCAGUAAUAUAUCACACAUCACCAUUCUAAAUAAAUUUGAUAGACUUUAAGUAUAUGUAAGAGUC
RNAcentral lists this long non-coding RNA (816 nucleotides) under Anser brachyrhynchus (Pink-footed goose). Its description in RNAcentral is "lncRNA (ENSABRG00000014502.1)". The record is from RNAcentral. Lineage: Eukaryota; Metazoa; Chordata; Aves; Anseriformes; Anatidae.